RNAcentral lists this ribosomal RNA (253 nucleotides) under uncultured bacterium. RNAcentral's name for it is "partial 16S ribosomal RNA". It matches the Rfam family "Bacterial small subunit ribosomal RNA", at positions 524 to 776 of the family's 1533-position model. The record is from RNAcentral.
UACGGAGGGAGCUAGCGUUGUUCGGAAUUACUGGGCGUAAAGCGCACGUAGGCGGCUUUGUAAGUUAGAGGUGAAAGCCUGGGGCUCAACUCCAGAACUGCCUUUAAAACUGCAUCGCUUGAAUCCAGGAGAGGUGAGUGGAAUUCCGAGUGUAGAGGUGAAAUUCGUAGAUAUUCGGAAGAACACCAGUGGCGAAGGCGGCUCACUGGACUGGUAUUGACGCUGAGGUGCGAAAGCGUGAGGAGCAAACAGG